CUGGGUAUCUUUUAGAAAUCUACAAAUUGUACUACAAUCAAAGCAUUGUCACAGGGGGAAAAACAUAUGCUAUGACUCUGGUUUUGAGAUUAUUAAAGAGAAAACAGUACCUCAUUAGGAAAAUGAACUGGAGAAGAAAAUAGCCAAACACCAUAGCAUCUUUGCCAAGAAAACCUUAAAUGGGAUCACAAAGAAUUGAAUGCCACUGAAAUGACUCAACAACAACACAAAGAUAUGCUUUACAGACAUCGCAUUUAAUGUCUUCACCAACUUUGUGAGGUAGGUAGGUGUGGUUAUUAUCCCCAUUGUAAACUUCAAAAAUUAAUAUUCAAUACC
This 336-nucleotide long non-coding RNA is filed under the name Monodelphis domestica (gray short-tailed opossum). Its description in RNAcentral is "lncRNA (ENSMODG00000038759.1)". The record is from RNAcentral. Lineage: Eukaryota; Metazoa; Chordata; Mammalia; Didelphimorphia; Didelphidae.